Molecule: long non-coding RNA, 320 nt
Organism: Manacus vitellinus (golden-collared manakin)
Lineage: Eukaryota; Metazoa; Chordata; Aves; Passeriformes; Pipridae
Exons: 3
Source: RefSeq, a predicted model, not a curated record
UUGUCUUCCACAUGGCUGACAGCUGAAUUCUGUUCAAAAAGGAUGAUUAAGGCUGCAAUAGAUCCUUUGCUGCUUUUCCAGCUAAAAAGAGAGGAGUGAGGACUACAAAGAGUUUCCAUAUUUCUUAAUCUAACUGUAAGUCCCAAAAUGCACAUUCAUGUCUCUUCCACAGAAUGGCAAGGAAAUUUUACAACAGCUACAAGCUCCUGGGUAGCAGAAUGGUCAUACAUGGAGACAGAACAAUGAAAACUGGGAAGAAUCUGGGAACAGCAACAGCAGAACCAGCAACCUAAUCCUUUUUUUUUUAAUUCCUUGUAAGG